AACGAACGCUGGCGGCAUGCCUAACACAUGCAAGUCGAACGAGAUCUUCGGGUCUAGUGGCGCACGGGUGCGUAACGCGUGGGAAUCUGCCCUUUGGUUCGGAAUAACAGUUGGAAACGACUGCUAAUACCGGAUGAUGACGAAAGUCCAAAGAUUUAUCGCCAGAGGAUGAGCCCGCGUAGGAUCAGCUGGUUGGUGUGGUAAAGGCGCACCAAGGCGACGAUCCUUAGCUGGUCUGAGAGGAUGAUCGGCCACACUGGGACUGAGACACGGCCCAGACUCCUACGGGAGGCAGCAGUGGGGAAUAUUGGACAAUGGGCGAAAGCCUGAUCCAGCAAUGCCGCGUGAGUGAUGAAGGCCUAGGGUUGUAAAGCUCUUUUACCCGGGAUGAUAAUGACAGUACCGGGAGAAUAAGCUCCGGCUAACUCCGUGCCAGCAGCCGCCGCCG
Molecule: ribosomal RNA, 448 nt
Filed under: uncultured bacterium
Lineage: Bacteria
Description: partial 16S ribosomal RNA
Rfam family: Bacterial small subunit ribosomal RNA
Source: RNAcentral